RNAcentral lists this long non-coding RNA (1435 nucleotides) under Marmota monax (woodchuck). The record is from RNAcentral. Lineage: Eukaryota; Metazoa; Chordata; Mammalia; Rodentia; Sciuridae.
UGGGCCCCAAUUCAGAAGGCCAUCUAGGAUUAUUCAAAAACCAGUGGAUUUGGCAUCACAUUUGUUAAAGCUAUUCAUAGCUCUUCCUCUUCCUUUAGAUUUAUUAAUGAGCAGAAAAAAUUUUUUAAAGAACCGGUAAUAAGUAUGGUUUGGGUGACUUUGAAAUAUAAGGAUAUUUCAGCAAAUCUAACUUUUAGAAGACAUGGAUAUAUGUAGUUUAUAUAUUCCAAGUUAGAGGUGAUGAUUUGAACUGAUACCUGAUUACAAAUUUGUCUUUUGGAUUCUCAUCUCUUAUCACAUCAGUUUCUCAGCCUCCCAAUUCAAAUUACGAUUUUCCCAAAGUGCUUAGCACACCCCACUGCAGCCUGCUUCCUGGGCCCAGAUCCUUGUGGGAGGGUCCCAAACAUUAUUAACAUAUACACAAUGUGCAUCCUGCUCUCUGAGGAUAUUCCUUUGACAAGAGAUCCACCUGAGAGCCUAGGAGUUAGGAACAUAAAGUAGUGAGGUUUGGAAGCCUUAGGAAAUUUCCAAAAUAAACACUUUCUAAAAGAAGACACAUGAAUUAGAAAAAUAAGGACCCAAAUAGGUCAGAGACUAGAAAUUAGAAAGAAGAGGAGAUUCGCACAUUAGAGACCUGGGUUCAGAGAACUGAUCCACUGAACACUAAAUUGAACUGUUUGCCUCAUAGCAAUCAAAGGAAAUGAGGAAAUGUGUAAAGCUUUAUAGUUUCCAGGGUUUGAUAAAGGAAUCUUGUAAGAUCUUUGGUAGGAACUUAUUUUUCUCCUAGCAAUAAAUUCUUGGAGGUUUUUAUUGGAUUGGAUUUUAUCUAAAUGACAAUACAGACUGAAAAGUGGCUCACCAAAGAUGUAGAAAUGAUUUUCUUAUAACCAUCUCUUAUGCUGACCUGUAGUAAACACUGAGGGUAAGCUGUUUAUUAAAUCAUAACUCAGCAAAGAUAUAUCUUUGGGGAGUUUAGCUAAUGUGGUCCAGACCAUAGCUUUCUGGUGAUUUAUCCUGACAUACAGACAGAGCUCAGGGGGCUGAGAGGAAUGGGUAGUUAGCAUGACUCAGAGAUCCUCACUGUCAAGAAUUCAUUGUUUUUGUUGAUUCUUAGGGGCCAGAGAAUGGUCCAAGAAGUUGAAAGCAAAAUGAGCUUUGUGCUCUGGUUAUAGAUACUGAUGUUGAAAUUUGGUCGUGAAAUGCCAUGGUUUGAAAGGAUCCACUCUGAAGUCUCAGUGUUUCCAGUGUGUUCGGAGUAAGAGGUGGAGCCUCAAAGAAGUGAUUAUGUCAUGAGGCUCCUCCUGUGGGAGUGGAAUUAGAACCCCUUCAGAAGGGGAUUGACAAAGGAGGUUUGUUCUCUCUUGCCCUUCUGCCCUUUACUCUGUGAGGACACAGCAAGAAAGCUCUUGCCAGUUGUCAGCACCCUGAUUUGGAC